UAAAUAGGUCUUAAAAAGAAUUUAACAACUUGCUUGUACUUUUUCUCUGAAACUGUAAAAACAUAUAAAUAAGUUAGCUCUGAAAAAUAUUUUAAGAUAUAAAACAUCUUAAAUUCUCAGCAGUAGUUACAGGGAAAUUCUCAUGUAACUUAUUUACAUAUAUAAUGCAUAUAUUUUCAUGACUUAAAAUUUGAAAGUAAUACAAUGUACAGACUUUAAAAAUGCCAAAAAAAAAAUUUUAUCAGGAAAUCAACAAAAAGUUUAAGAAUAAGCAUUAAAAAACCUGUUAAUUUUCUUACACUACCCCUUCCCUAGAGUGUUAACACUGUGAACAGAUUUCUAAAUGGGAUCAUAUUAAUAAAUGUGAUACUGCAUUUCUUCAAUGUGCUUUUUAGAAAUGUUAGAAAAAUAUCACAACUUACUUCCACAUUAGUACACAGGAAGUAAUAGUGUGAAGUAUAAAGUAAAAAUCCCUGACCUCACUACCCACCUGCUUUCCAAGAUACUGUAGUUGUUUACAUUUUUAUAUCCUUCCAGAAAUUUUCUAUGCCCAUCAACAUUUGUAUCUACAUCUAUAUCUAUACCUCUAUAUAUU
This 595-nucleotide long non-coding RNA is filed under the name Bos taurus (domestic cattle). Its description in RNAcentral is "long non-coding RNA NONBTAT025017". Lineage: Eukaryota; Metazoa; Chordata; Mammalia; Artiodactyla; Bovidae. The record is from RNAcentral.